GUGGCUGUGGUCACGUGUGGAGCGCUUGGUCAAAAUCCCUAAAACAGGGUCCGGUCUUCCCCCAUCGGUCUGCUCCUCCCACUCCCACGACCAGCGCCGCCGCUUGCCCCCGUGUCCGCCGUCCAGUUCUGAUCCGCCGACUCCCUCCCCAUCGAGCGCCGCCCACAUCGCCGUUGAGCAUCGACUCCACGCCUCCAGCACAGCCUCCCUCCCCAUCUAGCGCGGCCCCCAUCGCCGGCGACUUCCAGAUCCGCCUCCCUGGCCGGCGAACUUCCAGAUCCGCGUCCCUGGCCGGCGAACUUCCAGAUCCACCUCCGUCGCCGUGUGGAGGUGGCUCCCUCCCCGACCAGUCUUACAAAAUCAGGAAGUUGUAGCGCUACAAAGGCCAAGUUUGAGAAGUGACAUUGCCACACCACAACCCUCUCGAUCAAGAAGUCCAAUCCAGGCAUGUUGAAGAACCCACCACAAAGCAUCUUCAAGACGCACAUCCAGCAUAUUGGAAGGAACGUCAUCUCGAUCUUCAAAGUUAUGUUCCUGGUACUUCUUCAUAGUUGCAGUCUGCACUUGGCACCAAGAAAAGACCUUCUCAUUUGUUUGGUGACUAAUAGCAUGUGUGUCAUGAGCUGGAGUUUACCUUUGUGUUUGAAAACUUGUAUACAUAUAUUACAGUUUUGCCUUUCACCAUUGUUCAUUGAAAUAUGCUAUAUUCUUUUCCAUUGUAGGUGAAUUGAUCCUUCCAAGCCCAAGAGGAUGCCGGUACUCCGCUGGCAGAUCCUUCCCAUGCUGAAGGCCAUGUUCAUGCUACUCAUCUGGAUGAGCAUGGUUCUACCCCAAGACAGGAUAUAUACCAUUUGUUGCACUACAGUUGGUAUAUAGCAAGAUGGAUAAGAAAUACCCAAGAGCUUCUUCCUUUUCAAGAUUAGAAGAUGGAUGAUAGUGAUACGCUUCUGAGAAGAAAUCGUUCCAGGUACUGGGCGUAGUGGUGAUGGAGACAUAGACUUGUAAGACCCUUGGGUGGGCGAACGCCCUUGAGCACCUCCACUUGAACUUCUGGUGAGCAAGUCUGUAAGGAACCACCCCAGGACAGUUCCAGUCAUAUUAGUCUUUUCUUAUCAGCUAGCUUUGCAUCGUCUGCUUUCUUCUUGUUUUUGACAUAUUCAAGAUGAUGAAUUUUCAGAUUACCUUGCAGCUUGUUUAGGCUCCCCAACUGUUUUAGCUCAUGCCCAUGUUUUGUCCUUACUUGAGAUACAGCAAGUUCUUGUAGUAAUGUUAAACUACCGAUGUUCGGAACUUGCAUUGCAAAGCUAUAAAUAUGACGCUUACUGCUAGUUCUCUACAUGUAGUGCUAGUUCUGUACAUGCAGUUUAGUGCUUGUCAUACUUAGAUUUUUCCUAUGAAGUGAUGAUUUU
This is a long non-coding RNA of Triticum dicoccoides, 1409 nucleotides long. RefSeq lists it as uncharacterized. The record is from RefSeq and is a predicted model, not a curated record. The transcript is spliced from 4 exons. NCBI's taxonomy places the organism in Eukaryota, Viridiplantae, Streptophyta, Magnoliopsida, Poales, Poaceae.